Molecule: ribosomal RNA, 705 nt
Filed under: Phlegmacium subamaricatum
Lineage: Eukaryota; Fungi; Basidiomycota; Agaricomycetes; Agaricales; Cortinariaceae
Description: eukaryotic LSU rRNA
Rfam family: 5.8S ribosomal RNA (bases 299-452)
Source: RNAcentral
UUAGAGGAAGUAAAAGUCGUAACAAGGUUUCCGUAGGUGAACCUGCGGAAGGAUCAUUAUUGAAAUAAACCUGAUGAGUUGCUGCUGGUUCUCUAGGGAGCAUGUGCACGCUUGUCAUCUUUAUAUCUCCACCUGUGCACCUUUUGUAGACCUGGAUAUAUCUCUCUGAAUGCUCGCCACUCAGGUUUGAGGAUUGACUUUAUGUCUCUCCUUGCAUUUCCAGGCCUAUGUUUCUUUAUAUACCCCAAUGUAUGUCAUAGAAUGUAAUCAAUGGGCCUUUGUGCCUAUAAACCUAUACAACUUUCAGCAACGGAUCUCUUGGCUCUCGCAUCGAUGAAGAACGCAGCGAAAUGCGAUAAGUAAUGUGAAUUGCAGAAUUCAGUGAAUCAUCGAAUCUUUGAACGCACCUUGCGCUCCUUGGUAUUCCGAGGAGCAUGCCUGUUUGAGUGUCAUUAAUAUAUCAACCUCUUCAGAUUUUAUUUGUUGAGUGUUGGAUUUGGGGGUCUUUUUUGCUGGUCUUCUAAAGAUCAGCUCCCCUGAAAUGCAUUAGCAGAACGAUUUGUGGACCGUUCAUUGGUGUGAUAACUAUCUACGCUAUUGACGUGAAACAGUUCAGCUUCUAACAGUCCAUUGACUUGGACAAAUUUUCAUUAAUGUGACCUCAAAUCAGGUAGGACUACCCGCUGAACUUAAGCAUAUCAAUAA